GGGCUUGUAACUCAGCGGUAGAGUGUACACCUGAUAAGCGUAAAGUCGAUCGUUCAAUUCGAUCCAGGCCCA
Molecule: transfer RNA, 72 nt
Filed under: Saccharina coriacea
Lineage: Eukaryota; Phaeophyceae; Laminariales; Laminariaceae
Also listed under: 1 other name
Description: tRNA-Ile
Rfam family: tRNA
About the family: Transfer RNA (tRNA) molecules are approximately 80 nucleotides in length. Their secondary structure includes four short double-helical elements and three loops (D, anti-codon, and T loops). Further hydrogen bonds mediate the characteristic L-shaped molecular structure. tRNAs have two regions of fundamental functional importance: the anti-codon, which is responsible for specific mRNA codon recognition, and the 3' end, to which the tRNAs corresponding amino acid is attached (by aminoacyl-tRNA synthetases). tRNAs cope with the degeneracy of the genetic code in two manners: having more than one tRNA (with a specific anti-codon) for a particular amino acid; and 'wobble' base-pairing, i.e. permitting non-standard base-pairing at the 3rd anti-codon position.
Source: RNAcentral